ACUCAAAUGAAUUGACGGGGGCCCGCACAAGCGGCGGAGCAUGUGGCUUAAUUCGAUGCAACGCGAAGAACCUUACCAAGGCUGAACUACGCGGGAAAAGCCGUAGAAAUACGGUGUCCUUCGGGGCCCGCGAUAGGUGGUGCAUGGCUGUCGUCAGCUCGUGUCGUGAGAUGUUGGGUUAAGUCCCGCAACGAGCGCAACCCUUAUCCCAUGUUGCCAGCGAGUUAUGUCGGGGACUCGUGGGAGACUGCCGGUGCCAAACCGGAGGAAGGUGGGGAUGACGUCAAGUCAGCAUGCCCCUUACGUCUUGGGCUGCACACAUGCUACAAUGGCCGGUACAAAGGGCUGCAAACCCGCGAGGGUGAGCCAAUCCCAUAAAGCCGGUCUCAGUUCGGAUCGCAGUCUGCAACUCGACUGCGUGAAGUCGGAGUCGCUAGUAAUCGCAGAUCAGCAACGCUGCGGUGAAUACGUUCCCGGGCCUUGUACACACCGCCCGU
RNAcentral lists this ribosomal RNA (497 nucleotides) under uncultured bacterium. RNAcentral's name for it is "partial 16S ribosomal RNA". It matches the Rfam family "Bacterial small subunit ribosomal RNA", at positions 899 to 1397 of the family's 1533-position model. The record is from RNAcentral.